RNAcentral lists this ribosomal RNA (486 nucleotides) under uncultured bacterium. RNAcentral's name for it is "partial 16S ribosomal RNA". It matches the Rfam family "Bacterial small subunit ribosomal RNA", at positions 30 to 507 of the family's 1533-position model. The record is from RNAcentral.
AUUGAACGCUGGCGACAUGCCUUACACAUGCAAGUCGAACGGCAGCACGGGUGCUUGCCCCUGGUGGCGAGUGGCGAACGGGUGAGUAAUACAUCGGAACAUGUCCUGUAGUGGGGGAUAGCCCGGCGAAAGCCGGAUUAAUACCGCAUACGAUCUACGGAUGACAGCGGGGGACCUUCGGGCCUCGCGCUAUAGGGUUGGCCGAUGGCUGAUUAGCUAGUUGGUGGGGUAAAGGCCUACCAAGGCGACGAUCAGUAGCUGGUCUGAGAGGACGACCAGCCACACUGGGACUGAGACACGGCCCAGACUCCUACGGGAGGCAGCAGUGGGGAAUUUUGGACAAUGGGCGAAAGCCUGAUCCAGCAAUGCCGCGUGUGUGAAGAAGGCCUUCGGGUUGUAAAGCACUUUUGUCCGGAAAGAAAUCCUUGGCCCUAAUACGGUCGGGGGAUGACGGUACCGGAAGAAUAAGCACCGGCUAACUACGUG